GUGAUUGCUUCAGCGGCACAUAUGCUAAUAUUGGAAUAAUACAAAGAAGCUUAGCAUGGCCCCUGUACAAGGAUAGCAUGCAAAAUUCAUGAAGCGUUCCAUAUUUUU
Molecule: small nuclear RNA, 108 nt
Filed under: Dasypus novemcinctus (nine-banded armadillo)
Lineage: Eukaryota; Metazoa; Chordata; Mammalia; Cingulata; Dasypodidae
Source: RNAcentral